RNAcentral lists this ribosomal RNA (433 nucleotides) under uncultured bacterium. Its description in RNAcentral is "partial 16S ribosomal RNA". It matches the Rfam family "Bacterial small subunit ribosomal RNA", at positions 29 to 507 of the family's 1533-position model. The record is from RNAcentral.
AACGAACGCUGGCGGCAUGCCUAACACAUGCAAGUCGAACGAGACCUUCGGGUCUAGUGGCGCACGGGUGCGUAACGCGUGGGAACCUGCCCUUAGGUUCGGAAUAACUCCCAGAAAGGGGUGCUAAUACCGGAUAAUGUCUUCGGACCAAAGAUUUAUCGCAUUUGGAUGGGCCCGCGUUUGAUUAGCUAGUUGGUAGGGUAAAAGCCUACCAAGGAGACGAUCCAUAGCUGGUCUGAGAGGAUGAUCAGCCACACUUGGACUGAGACACGGCCCAGACUCCUACGGGAGGCAGCAGUGGGGAAUAUUGGACAAUGGGCGAAAGCCUGAUCCAGCAAUGCCGCGUGAGUGAUGAAGGCCUUAGGGUUGUAAAGCUCUUUUAUCCGGGAUGAUAAUGACAGUACCGGGAGAAUAAGCUCCGGCUAACUCCGUG